GGGGGGGGGGGGGGGGGGGGCGGGGGGGGGGGGGGGGCGGGGGGGGCGGGGGGGCUUGCUCCUGUGCCGUUAGCGGCGGACGGGCGAGUAACACGUGGAUGACCGACCUCUCAGACUGGGCUAGCUUCGGGUGACCUGAGCUAAUACCGGGUAAUUUAUUUAACCGCCUGGUUCACUAUUGCACGCAGGUUUUGCUGUCACUUAUAGAUUGGUCCGCUCCGCCUUAGCUAGUUGGUAAGGUAACGGAUUAACAAGGAAACGAUUCGUAGCCGAACUGAGAGAGUGGUCGGCCACACGGGAACUGAGACACGGUCCAGACGCCUGCGGGAGGCAGCAGUAGGGAAUCUUCCGCAAUGGGCGAAAGCUUGACGGAGCAACGCCGCGUGAGUGAUGAAGGUCUUCGGAUCGUAAAACUCUGUUAUUAGGGAAGAACAAAUGUGUAAGUAACUAUGCACGUCUUGACGGUACCUAAUCAGAAAGCCACGGCUAACUACGUG
RNAcentral lists this ribosomal RNA (497 nucleotides) under uncultured bacterium. RNAcentral's name for it is "partial 16S ribosomal RNA". It matches the Rfam family "Bacterial small subunit ribosomal RNA", at positions 38 to 507 of the family's 1533-position model. The record is from RNAcentral.